AUAACUUUAGGACAUAAUUUUAUACUUAUUACAUUGAUUCGAUCAAUAAAAAGAUAUGUUUAUUUUUCAUUCAAGUGUGAUAUAUUCUUGAAUUAAUUUUUGAUACAUAUUCUCAAAGUAUUGAGAAUUAGAGACAUAUAUUUGAUUCCUAAAUGCUCUCGAUCAAUGAAUUAUCAUGAGGACAGUGAUCGAUCCGGAUAGACUAACGCACCGAUUACUUUUUUUGGGAU
Molecule: long non-coding RNA, 230 nt
Filed under: Elaeis guineensis (African oil palm)
Lineage: Eukaryota; Viridiplantae; Streptophyta; Magnoliopsida; Arecales; Arecaceae
Description: long non-coding RNA (EGUI_LNC008500)
Source: RNAcentral